Molecule: long non-coding RNA, 405 nt
Organism: Nerophis lumbriciformis (worm pipefish)
Lineage: Eukaryota; Metazoa; Chordata; Actinopteri; Syngnathiformes; Syngnathidae
Source: RefSeq, a predicted model, not a curated record
UGUAUGCAUUAUAUUGCUUUGUUAUUUUCCCUUAUUCAUCCAUCAUAAUGUAAUAUUAAAAUUGUGGCUGAAUAUUUUAGACCAUUGUUUUAAUACCACAAAUUGUGUCUCUUCAUUUUCAGGGUGCCCUUUGGAGGAGCCAGUGGACUUUGUGCAAGGGAGGUGCCGUGGGGAUCAAGAUGAGGCCGCUCCUGGACAGACUGAGUCAGAAACAGAGCAUUGAGAUGAGGCGUGAAACCUUAUACUGUACCUUGGCGAGAAGGAAGAGGAACUUUUUGAAGACUGCUUGGAGGACAGCCGGAGUGAUGUCAGUAACCACAUCCUCAAAAUACUCGUCGUCCACGGUACUGAUGAGGAUCCAGUUGAUGUCUCCAUCCUUGUGGAAGGCCAUGAGAUUUUGCCAGG